UAUCGUGGUGAGCAGGUGAGGCGGAGUGUUGCAGAUCUUAGGGAGGCACAAUACCGUUUACAAGGCAAAGAUUGCUAUCUGUUUAAGAUCAGUGAGGAAGUAGUUAUUGAUGCCACCAAUAAGGGGAAUAUAGCACGCAUGAUCAAUCAUUCGUGUAUGCCCAACUGCUAUGCAAGGAUAAUGAGUGUUGGUGAUGUGGAGAACCGUAUAGUUCUUAUUGCUAAAACCAGUGUCUCUGAAGGGGAUGAGCUAACGUAUGAUUACUUGUUUGAUCCAGAUGAGCAUGAUGAGUUGAAUUGAAGGUCCCUUGUCUAUGUGGAGCGCCCAACUGUAGGAAGUUCAUGAAUUAGGUUGCACAUCCUGUAUAUAUUGCUCUCCAUCAAAGCACCAGAUCCAUCUCCUUACCCAUGAGGAAACCUCAUUUUUUUGAAAGAAACCAAUUUUGAAUAGAUUUUUCAUUUCUUUUUCUUCUUUCCCUCCAUUCUGAUAAUCCUGAUAGCCAUGUAAUCUUUUU
RNAcentral lists this unclassified non-coding RNA (514 nucleotides) under Hevea brasiliensis (rubber tree). The record is from RNAcentral. Lineage: Eukaryota; Viridiplantae; Streptophyta; Magnoliopsida; Malpighiales; Euphorbiaceae.